This 244-nucleotide ribosomal RNA is filed under the name uncultured bacterium. RNAcentral describes it as "partial 16S ribosomal RNA". It matches the Rfam family "Bacterial small subunit ribosomal RNA", at positions 1259 to 1500 of the family's 1533-position model. The record is from RNAcentral.
GAGGCGGAGCUAAUCCCUUAAAGCCAUUCUCAGUUCGGAUUGUAGGCUGAAACUCGCCUACAUGAAGCUGGAGUUACUAGUAAUCGCAGAUCAGAAUGCUGCGGUGAAUGCGUUCCCGGGUCUUGUACACACCGCCCGUCACACCACGGAAGUUGGGGGCGCCCGAAGCCACUUAGCUAACCCUUUUGGGAAGCGAGUGUCGAAGGUGAAAUCAAUAACUGGGGUGAAGUCGUAACAAGGUAUC